This is a long non-coding RNA of Papaver somniferum (opium poppy), 858 nucleotides long. RefSeq lists it as uncharacterized. NCBI's taxonomy places the organism in Eukaryota, Viridiplantae, Streptophyta, Magnoliopsida, Ranunculales, Papaveraceae. The record is from RefSeq and is a predicted model, not a curated record. The transcript has 5 exons.
ACCACUGAAAAUUCAAUAAACAAUAAACUUGUCUGGUGAUUUGGGAUUUUCUCUUAUUGAUUUUUCAGAGAUUUUGAAGAUGGAGAAAAAGAUGAUAUAUCGAUUUAUCUUUUUUCCUAUAUUCGUAGACUGAUUUCCGGGGGAGAAAGCAGGAUAGGUUCAAUAACAUGAGGAGAGGGAAACAAGAAGCAGACAGCUGUCCCCAGUCGAGUUCGCCAGGGUUUAUGAAAUUCCUAAACAGAUUAUCCCAGAAUGAAGGAAACAGGAAAGGGACCACCUUCUGCGGAAGAAGAGGACCUGAAGUCGUUAGUGCUCCGUGACAAGGAUGAUAAAUUGACUUCCGAGUUCGGUGAUGAUGAUGAAGUUGUUUCUUUUAUCAAAGCGUUGUUUGAUGCUGGGAUUUGUAUGUUUUAACUUGAAUAUCGAGAGGAAGGAGAGAGCAUGGAAUUGUUCAGUUCGUGUGAGUGCAUUGAAAACCACUGUUAGAAACUUCAUGGACAUUUUUAUGAGAACGCCGGAAGUGGUAGUUACAGAUCCAAUUGUUAGAAAGAAGGUUCAGAAGGAAACAUAAGGAGACCGAGUCAGUAAGCAGUUAAUGGAGUUGGAACGACAAUAGGUAAUGUAUUGCAUUCUUUAUUUGUAUUGCUCUAUUGUCCAUUACUGGUCUUCUUUAAAUUCUUGUAAUUCUCUUGCCAUGGAUAUAACUGCCUUCGUUUCCAAAACCCUGACUUUCUACUACAUAAAGCAUUUUGCUAUAUAUUUGUAUGCUUUACUCUUAUUCUUAUGUUUUGAUUACUCAAAUAGUUAGUAAUAAAAUAACUUAAUUUUUACGCAAGAUUAUGUUCAUCUCUUCAUCAU